Molecule: transfer RNA, 70 nt
Filed under: Podarcis lilfordi (Lilford's wall lizard)
Lineage: Eukaryota; Metazoa; Chordata; Lepidosauria; Squamata; Lacertidae
Description: tRNA.Lys
Rfam family: tRNA
About the family: Transfer RNA (tRNA) molecules are approximately 80 nucleotides in length. Their secondary structure includes four short double-helical elements and three loops (D, anti-codon, and T loops). Further hydrogen bonds mediate the characteristic L-shaped molecular structure. tRNAs have two regions of fundamental functional importance: the anti-codon, which is responsible for specific mRNA codon recognition, and the 3' end, to which the tRNAs corresponding amino acid is attached (by aminoacyl-tRNA synthetases). tRNAs cope with the degeneracy of the genetic code in two manners: having more than one tRNA (with a specific anti-codon) for a particular amino acid; and 'wobble' base-pairing, i.e. permitting non-standard base-pairing at the 3rd anti-codon position.
Source: RNAcentral
GAGUGGCUCAGUCGGCAGAGCAUGAGACUCUUAAUCUCAGGGUCGUGGGUUUUGAGCCCCAUGUUGGGCA